UUUGAACAAUACUCGUCUCGGUCAAACUUGUGGCCAUAUUUUACAGCUGAGUGUUUUGCAAUUCGUUGACAUUCAAAUUGUUGUCCGUCCGUUCUUGCGUGGAGAUUCGCGCUGUUUUUUGUUUUUCGUCGGGCUUGUUACCGGGUCCGUUUUUUGUGUGGGUGCAGUUUUCUCUCUGCCCGCUACGGCUGCCCCGGCCUGGUCUGAUUUUUGUGUUGUUUUCAUUAUCUCCUCUCUGUUUCGAUAAGGCUGAGGCGAAGCUCGAGCGGCGGAGCAGAGGAGGAGAUUCUCCCUGUCCAUGGCGAUUUCGUGAACUUCCAGCGCUCGAGCUUCAUUUCUGUCCCCUUUCUAUUCGCUCCCCGGUGUCGCGCAAUCUAUUGAGAAAUCUUCAGCAAGCAGAGAUGGUGAUGUUCCCCCUUGCAGUGACUUGCUUUUUGAAAUGAAUGUGCAGAAAUCCUUUGGUGCUCGUUUUGGGUUUGAGGCUUCCUAGGUAGUUAUAGACCUUGUUCAAGCUAGGAACAAAGACAAGCACAAGCUAUUUGUUGAAUGGUCACAAUCCCUUAUAAUUGAUGUUCUAGAUUGCUUAUCACACUCAUCUCUGAAUGUCAAAUCUGUUCCUACAAGUGAGGUUCAUUCUUUUUAUAUGUUCUCUUCUGGUACUAAGUCUAUUUUCUAUUCACUCUUUCAUUGCUGAGAGGAACUUUGAAACUGUUGUUGACAAUCCAUCUCCUCAAGUCGAGCGGCAAAUCCCCAAUUUGAGUCCGUGCUUGAGUUCAUUUUAGCUACUGCUAUACUGGGAUCAACAUCUUCAGUGUCCUGCAACUUUUAGGGAUUUCUUUUAGUAUUUUUUUUGAAAUGUUUCUCCUUUUAUGUUCUUCAGCUGAAAAUUGUUGUGUGUACCUGUUGCAGAUUCAUGUUGUAGAACAGGUUUGUGUCCCAGGGAUUAGAUUCUCCUCCACCAUCUUCACGUCGCUGCCUCUUCAUGAUGCAAGUCUAGCUCCGAUGUCUGCAAGUUUUCCUCCUUAGUUUCCCCAAUGUUCGUAGAUCCAUCUCCGGAUCGGAAUGUACCUCAAGGUUCAUCACAAGUUUAAUUUUAAGACAUUUAGAUGAAUCGGCAAUGGAUGUACGGUCCCCGACUCUCCGGUGAGUUCACUACGGGUUUGAAAGAUUUCCUCGUAGUGGCAAAUGCGAACAAGCAGCAAGGUUUUAUUAUCUGUCCAUG
Molecule: long non-coding RNA, 1222 nt
Organism: Triticum aestivum (bread wheat)
Lineage: Eukaryota; Viridiplantae; Streptophyta; Magnoliopsida; Poales; Poaceae
Exons: 6
Source: RefSeq, a predicted model, not a curated record